GGUCACCACCGCAGCCUGAGGAAUGCUGCCCCAGAAGCUGAGAGAGCAAAUGACUUUAAUGACAGGAAAAAAGACCACCACACAAUGAAACACAGGCAGAGAAGUUGGACCAGGUGAUCAAUGAGCGGCUUUCAGGCUUCAAGAUAAACUGCAUUAGGAGAACAGUGUGUGAAGAGGUAGAAUGGGAAAGCUCCAGG
Molecule: long non-coding RNA, 197 nt
Organism: Suricata suricatta (meerkat)
Lineage: Eukaryota; Metazoa; Chordata; Mammalia; Carnivora; Herpestidae
Exons: 3
Source: RefSeq, a predicted model, not a curated record